UGGGCGUAAGGGCUCGCAGGCGGUUUCUUAAGUCUGAUGUGAAAGCCCCCGGCUCAACCGGGGAGGGUCAUUGGAAACUGGGGAACUUGAGUGCAGAAGAGGAGAGUGGAAUUCCACGUGUAGCGGUGAAAUGCGUAGAGAUGUGGAGGAACACCAGUGGCGAAGGCGACUCUCUGGUCUGUAACUGACGCUGAGGAGCGAAAGCGUGGGGAGCGAACAGGAUUAGAUACCCUGGUAGUCCACGCCGUAAACGAUGAGUGCUAAGUGUUAGGGGGUUUCCGCCCCUUAGUGCUGCAGCUAACGCAUUAAGCACUCCGCCUGGGGAGUACGGUCGCAAGACUGAAACUCAAAGGAAUUGACGGGGGCCCGCACAAGCGGUGGAGCAUGUGGUUUAAUUCGAAGCAACGCGAAGAACCUUACCAGGUCUUGACAUCCUCUGACAAUCCUAGAGAUAGGACGUCCCCUUCGGGGGCAGAGUGACAGGUGGUGCAUGGUUGUCGUCAGCUCGUGUCGUGAGAUGUUGGGUUAAGUCCCGCAACGAGCGCAACCCUUGGUCUUAAUUGCCAGCAUUCAUUUGGGCACU
RNAcentral lists this ribosomal RNA (583 nucleotides) under Bacillus subtilis. Its description in RNAcentral is "bacterial SSU rRNA". It matches the Rfam family "Bacterial small subunit ribosomal RNA", at positions 555 to 1139 of the family's 1533-position model. Lineage: Bacteria; Bacillati; Bacillota; Bacilli; Caryophanales; Bacillaceae. The record is from RNAcentral.